This 490-nucleotide ribosomal RNA is filed under the name uncultured bacterium. RNAcentral describes it as "partial 16S ribosomal RNA". It matches the Rfam family "Bacterial small subunit ribosomal RNA", at positions 29 to 505 of the family's 1533-position model. The record is from RNAcentral.
AGUGAACGCUGGCGGUAGGCCUAACACAUGCAAGUCGAACGGCAGCACAGUAAGAUCUUGCUCUUACCGGUGGCGAGUGGCGGACGGGUGAGGCAUACAUCGGCUUCUACUUUUUCGUGGGGGAUAACGUAGGGCAACUUACGCUAAUACCUCAUACGUCCUACGGCUUAAUGCAGGGGAUCUUCGCACCUUGCGCGUUUGUAUUAGCCGAUGUCGGAUUAGCUAGUUGGCGGGGUAAAGUCCCACCAAGGCGACGAUCCGUAGCUGGUCUGAGAGGAUGAUCAGACACACGGGAACUGAGACACGGUCGAGACCUCUACGGGAGGCAGCAGUGGAGAAUAUCGGACAAUGGGCGAAAGCCUGAUCCAGCCAUACCGCGUGGGUGAAGAAGUCCUUGAGGUUGUAAAGCUCUUUUGUGGGGAAAAAAAAGGAGCAGGUUAAUACCCAGCUGUUCAGACUGUACACAAAGAAUAAGCACCGGCUAACUGCG